GUGUUCCCUUGUUUUACACCCUCACCUGGUCAUCAAGAAAAUAGUUGAGCAAGAAACAACUAAACAAGUGGUCAUUACUGACAGUAUUUAUAGAGCAGUUAAAAUUUUGUAUAUUAUAGCAAUGCAAAUAACAGUAAAUGUCUAUUUCAGACUGGUGAGUGUAUGACUAGUCAUUUACACCAAGAAAUGAGACUUCUUUACAAGUUCAUGGCUGGCUUUGUUCUAAUGUGUGCAAUCACAUGAGUCUUGUCCGUCACAAUGGUAAAGUUGAAAAUCGCUAAAUAUGGUGAUAACCCUCCAGCUGCCUGAAUGGGAGUGAGAACAUACUUUAGACAUUCCAUCAGAAGUAGUCUCUGUAUUGUUCAAGUCUGUCCGAGAGUACUACAUGGGAAGUCACAACCAAGAUCAUACCGAAGUUGCAGUUCCACGAGUCAUCCCAAGGGAUUUAGCCUGACCUGAAAGAUAAAGUGUCAGCUGAUUCAGUUGUGUCUGUAACCAAGAAGUUUGUUUUUGGCCUGAUUUCUAGAGAUCUUCAUGAAGAAAUCGUCAACUAUCAAUUAUGCAGCAAGGCAGAAUAUCCCGAUCACACUUAGGAAGGAGGCGUUUCCUUGCACUGUCAACACCUGCACUGUCAUUGUAGAAUCUGCUACACAGUAAUGCUGACACUGAGUGUUGCUUGACUGUAAUUAUCUGGAAAAUUCAGACAGUUGAUUGAAAUAAUUUAUCAAAUAGUAAUUAUAAUAAUAAUGUAUUUUUUUCAAGAGGCAACACAGUUGGACAUGCCCAGUCUUCCCUGUGAGCCUCUGUAAUAUUUACAUGUAUACAGUUACAAGAUUGACAAUGUUUAAGAAAAUAUACAAUGAGAGAUUACAUAUAAAGGUAAACAAUAACACAGUAAAGAUAUGUCAUGAAAUGAUUAAUAAUUUUGAAGUGAACUGAAUGAAUACUAAAGACUCACAGGACUGUAACAGUUUUUUGCCCACGUAAUGUACAGAAGAUUUGUGUAGUGAUGUUAAAGUUUUACAUAAAAUGGGAUAAAAAUUAAACACCUUGAUAGUU
Mercenaria mercenaria is the source of this 1059-nucleotide long non-coding RNA. RefSeq lists it as uncharacterized. NCBI's taxonomy places the organism in Eukaryota, Metazoa, Mollusca, Bivalvia, Venerida, Veneridae. The record is from RefSeq and is a predicted model, not a curated record. The transcript has 3 exons.